GAUGAACGCUGGCGGCGUGCUUAACACAUGCAAGUCGAACGAUGAAGCUGGAGCUUGCUCUGGUGGAUUAGUGGCGAACGGGUGAGUAACACGUGAGCAACCUGCCCCUGACUCUGGGAUAACAGCCGGAAACGGCUGCUAAUACCGGAUAUGCACCAUGAACGCAUGUUCUGUGGUGGGAAAGAUUUUUCGGUUGGGGAUGGGCUCGCGGCCUAUCAGCUUGUUGGUGAGGUAAUGGCUCACCAAGGCGUCGACGGGUAGCCGGCCUGAGAGGGUGACCGGCCCAAACGGGACUGGGGCAAGGCCCAGAAUCCUACGGGAGGCAGGAGGGGGGAAUAUUGCACAAUGGGCGAAAGCCUGAUGCAGCAACGCCGCGUGAGGGAUGACGGCCUUCGGGUUGUAAACCUCUUUUAGCAGGGAAGAAGCGAGAGUGACGGUACCUGCAGAAAAAGCGCCGGCUAACUACGUG
Molecule: ribosomal RNA, 469 nt
Filed under: uncultured bacterium
Lineage: Bacteria
Description: partial 16S ribosomal RNA
Rfam family: Bacterial small subunit ribosomal RNA
Source: RNAcentral